Long non-coding RNA from Parus major (Great Tit), 12412 nucleotides. RefSeq lists it as uncharacterized. Lineage: Eukaryota; Metazoa; Chordata; Aves; Passeriformes; Paridae. The transcript is spliced from 3 exons. The record is from RefSeq and is a predicted model, not a curated record.
GCUUCUCAUUUUUCCAAUGAUAAUAGUGAGAAACUAUUAUAGUAAAAACUUAAAUUCUCAGUUGACUACAUGGCUUCAGGUGGUGAUGGCUUUAAAAGAAAAAAAAUGUGACAAGAUUCUAGAUCAUGUGUUGAGAGAAAUAUAUGAAUGUGAAUCUGAAGUUAAUCUAUAGCAGGAAAUAUAAAUUAUUUAUAAAAAUCUAAAUUUAUAAAUAUCUAAAAGAAUACAGCAAAUCUUAACAUCUUAUUCCUUUAGAGUGCCACAAAAUUAUACUUGCAUGAAGCCAUUAACCCCAAAAGAGUUCUGAUUACAUGAAAGACUGAGAAUCUGUCAUGUGCCUACUCUCAAUGUAGGUCAGUGUACAGACAGAGCAAAACAGAAAGGAACUUGAGGGAAGAUAUCAACCCCACCUAGAGAAACUCUUGUUUGAGGUUCUUCUGUAAUUUAGAUGAUGUCUUAAGUUAAAACUGGAAAUGACAAGAUGGCCACAUGAGCAGUGACCACAUAGGGAAAGGUGCACAUUGGAAUGACUGCACUGAAUUUAAGGAAUUGAAAUUUCUUAAACUGCAAAAGCUCAGAACAGGGUGUCACACUUGUGUUUAUCCAUCCAUCUUGGAGGAACAAUUAUUACACAGGCAGGCUAAAUCAUGGUCAUAGCACACACAAAUUAGGCAAGGAAAACUGGGAAGAAGAGCAUAUUAGGAACAACUGAUCUCUUUUACGCUUCUGAUGGCCUGCUCACUCAUAACCGAAUCAUACAUUUUAAAUAUUCUUUGGACACAGAAAUACAUUAAAUAUACCAUUUAUGAAAAAGAUACAGAUAAAUGGAAAGGAUUCAGAGGAGCCUAGGGACAACAACAGCCUUAGAAAGCACGGUUUGUGAAAGAGGUGUGAGGAGGUUUAUUUAGCCUAGAAAAGGGAAGCUAUUCCAUUUCACAUCACAGCUAAGCCAGUCCAACCACUGUCACUCCCUAGGGCUUAAUCCAGUAAACUAAAUCACCAGGGAAAAUAUUUUAUUAUUUAUUUGAAUGUUUCUCUAAUUUAUCCUCUGAACUGUUUCAUCACAAUCACAUGAGGGCUGGCUGAAUGGGGAAAUAAUGUAGGGUGGUUCAUUUUGCAGCAUCUGACCUUCAGAUUGGCAUAGCUUUAAUGUGGAAGUGUAUUUCUGUACACAGUACAGAAAAACAAUUGUAUAUUUUAGAAGUGAGGGUGUUAAGCUACUUUGGUCUAUCUGCUGAGAAAUUAAAAAAGAAAAGGAAUCUGUUAAAUAGUUAUCAGAUUCUUGACUGAUGUGAUAAAACCCCUUUAUAACAGGAAGGGUAUUAAAAUAUUCUACAUAAGAAUAUUGUGGAAUUUCCUUCACUGGAACAAUUACCAAUGUAUUAAUGAUUAGUUCAUGAACCAUGAUUUAAUUCAUGAACCCUAUCUGCCAGGAUUAGUUCAAGGCUUCUUAUCUUGCCUUGGGGCAGAUGGGGAUUUUGAGAAUGAUCUCUUGAGAUUCAUUCUAUCCCUCCUUUUUUCUGACUUUGGGAUUUGCCAAGUUCACCCAUCCUGUCUGAGUUAGCUCUAACUGAACUCAAUAGCACUUGGAAAAAUGGUUUUAACAGAACAGUGCCAGAUUCUAAUAUUGCUGUUUGACUUAUAUUUUGUUGAGGAAAAGAGAAGUAUCUGUGAAUAUGCUGUUUAUGGACACAUUACCAAACAGACUGCUCAUGAUCUGCUUUGCAUUGUGGAAAAUUUCCUAGGCUGGCAUAGCUGGUCUCUAAAUACACCAUGAAAAUAGGAACAAGCCACACAUCAGAGGUGAUUUCCAGGUUAAAGGUUUGUCCUGCAAAUGGGGUUGCAGCACCUGCAAAUACCUGCUGAAGCAUCAUGGAAAUCCAGUUGCAAAUAGGGGAAGUAGGGUCACCAAAAGGGAAAUGUGUAUGCUGAGACAUACAAUUUCUUUAAUAUAUCAGAAGAAAAGUAUAGAAAACGGUAAGGUUUUGUUGAAAUAUAACUGGUGUUCACAUUUAAAAUACAGUAAUGCAGAAAUGGGAAACUGGAGAUCAAAUGAGGAAGAGAGGUGCUGUAUUAGGGACCUUCUUUUUUUUCCCUUUGGAAAACUUUUCCAGAAAUGACACGCUGCAGGAUCAAUACACACAGAUUUGGAAAAUACCGAAAUGCACUUAACCUUCUGUCUCCCCAGACUCAGUAAAUGUCAUUAUUAAUGUUCUCUAACAAAGUGUUUUGUGGACAAAAUAAACACCGCAGCUUUCUUAUAUAAAAUUCUCUACUCACUUUACUGCAAGUAAGUUCCGGGAAAAGUCUUGUAGGUAGCACAAAAAAGGAAAAAUUAGAAGCAUUUAUUAAGAAAAUAUAACAAUGACUUUAAUUAAGAAAAGCUUGUUAUUUAAAGAAUGAGAAAAAACUAGCUUGAAUGUAGCAAGUGGAUCCAUCUAGACUUUCUGAGGGAGGGAUCAAGCUAAGUGUGCUUUACAAAGUAUCUCUUCAAGUCUUUGGAAGUCCUGUCAAAUGGAGAGGAUCGAUACUAAUGUAGGGAGAGUGCAUGAACCCUUGAAAGACAUCUGAGCACAGGAGCUGCUGUGUAAUCAUGCCCACCCUGCAGAGCUGGGCAGCCUCACAUGGGAACCACCACUCUGGGACAUUAAGCUGCCAUCCACGGUUUGAGGAGCAGGCAGCUUUCUUCUUUGACAAGCUUUGCAGCCUUUGAAGCUGGAAUCUGCUUGUUCUAAAGGGACUGAUUAAAGAGGGAGAGGAAGCUUCAAAAGACCUCACUGCCUCUGUGAGCUAACUAGUCAGAAGGCUGCACUGCCAACCUCUUGUGACAUGUACCAUAGUUUAUUUCUUAACUUGUUCUUCAUUCUGCCCUUUAACAUUAGCAUCUUCUUUCCAUUGGUAUAUGAGAACACUGAAGCUUGCAGAAAUAUCAUAAAAUGAACAGUUUCUCUACUUCAGAUGGGACUCCCCCAUAUUUUUCCCCGCUGGGCUUCAUGUAUUUUUUGUUUGGAAGUUUUGUUGUGAUCCUGAUUCAGCACUGAUACCUGGCUGUGAGUACUAAAAGAAUAAUUCAGUGGGAAGGGCAGUAAUAACUGACACAUGGAAUAGGAAAGAACAAAAUAUGGUUAACAGUUGGACUCAAUCAUGAUCUAAUAACUAUUCUGUGAUUCUCUGAAAAUGCUAACAAAAUUGUGAAGAUGGGUCUGGAAUUCCUCCAGAACUCUGCAUUUAUGUGUUCAUUUAAUUUAAUUUCACUCAUGGAAUGCUGAUCUGUGCUAAUACUGUCAGUUUACCCCAUUGCUAGAUGCAGCCCAUUUCAUUCCAAAGCAGGAUGAUGGACAAAUCAUCUCACCUUUCUCAGUCCUGGCAGUGAACAUUGGGCCAGCAUAUUCUGCUUAUUUCCUUCUCCCACUUCUAUUUGCCCUUACCUUUCUCAGCUUAUUCAUCAAGACACCAGUUCUUAUGCAAGCCCUUUCUGAAAAAAGCAUUUCAUAAGACACCCGUACUAACAGGAAUAAAUUUUAGAGAUUAUCUCAGAGGGGAACUUUCAAAUGUUUCCACUUUGACUGAUACGUCUUUUCAGAGACACCAAGGGUUUCCUUUAUUUUGCUGACACUGCAUCAGAUAACUCAGAUGUCCCAUUUGAGGGAUUCAGAUUAAAAACAAAACCAGAUCCAUAUUUAUGUAAUAAAGAAGCUGACAGAAUGCUUUGGUGAUUAGGCAGACAUCUAGUUUAACACAUCUUGGAACUUUGACCUCAGUGAUUCAUAUGUCAUCCUUUCAAAUAAAAAAUCUUUAGUUCACUUAUUUUCUCAGUUUAUAGUUAUGCUUUUUAUCUUACUUCCUGUGACCUACUUCAUACUUUAUGUGAGUCCUCUUGGGAUAACAGAGACCACAGAUGACAUUUCAUUUGUUCUGCUUUUGUCUUGGUUGUUAAAAAUACAGUGGGGAAAAAAAAAAGAGGAUUAAAAAAAGGAAGGAUAAUGCCACUUGAUCACAUCACGUGGAGAAAGAACUCUGGAGGGUAAGUUCACACCACCCUGAUGAGGCAAGUCAGCACUGCCCAUAAGCAGAAGUGCCUUAGUUUGCAGGAACCUGAACAAUUAAACACUCUUCAUGAAAUGGCUUCUUCCAGCUGUGCUGCUGCAGGGCAUUAAAAACGGAGAGCAGAGACAGCACUGCCACCUGCUGCUCCUAGGGAUGUGGCUUUCAUGCUCACCAAGGGCAUCAAAGCUUUCCUUUAGAAUCCCAGAAUAUUCUGAGCUGGAAGGGACCCACAAAGAUCAAUGAGUCAAAUUCUUAAAGCUUGGAUGCUAAAACUUGCUAUGUACUGUAAAAAACAUAUUUACUGUAAAAGUAAAUGUUAAAAAAAAUAAAAUUUUACAGUUUAAAAUUGCUUACUAUAAAUACAACUUUGAUCUUUGCAAAGCAUCAGGUAAUAACAUAAGCUACCAUUAAGGUCCUGUCAACAGUUCUAAAACAAAAGCAAGCUGCCUUACCACUCUGUUUGGCAGUUUAGUUUAAUGCCAUUGUCUUUGGCUAGUUUGGUGUAGAGGGUUUAGUUAGGAAUUUACUGAAAGUGAAGGCAAUCAGCCUCUCACCAGACUAAGGCUUUAUAUUAGCAAUACUGUCCUUAAAGAACGGCAUAUGGGAAACAGACAAGAGUGAUAGUGGUGAGACUAAUGUGCAAGAAAAAGACAUUAAAAUCCUAUUGAAACACAUGACCUAAAAGUGUUUGUGCAUGUAUUUCCUCUUUUUCUGCAUCACCUCUCCUAUACAGCUGAAAUUAUUAGCCUGAGUCUCACACACCUUGUCUUUGCUAAACACUAUCAGAACUGCACCUAAAGCAACACUAUUUUACGGUCACAUUAGAAACCAUCACAACAUUUGUAGUGCUAAAAGGGUACAUUAUUGGUAAAAGAUAGUAGCUACUACAAUUGCUAUAUGGUUUUGUGGAAAUGGGGCACUGAUGUUUGUGGCUGGCACAAACUGAUUCCUGCAAAUAAAAUCACAACAGACCAGAGUAGUGAAGGAUAACUAAGAGUUACUAUAUAGUUGAUGCUAAUGGAAACUAUACUGGGAUUUUAACAGCUAGGCCAGUGACCCUGAAGAUUUUUAUCUUCUUAAUAAAGAAUUAGAUUAGAAUCUGUGAUUUAACUACUGAGGUGCAAAAGUUGCCAGAAACUGACAAAGGUGAUGAUUUUUUCUUACAACGAUGGCUAUAUAAAUUUUAAAGUAACUGUACUACUUCAGAAAUUAAAUUUCACAUCUUCCCCCAGAAAGCAUUUAGAUGAAACACAGAAGUGCAUAUGGAAAGAGAUGCAUGCUGUGCAGCCAGUAACGCAUCCUGGCAAAAGCUGCAGGGAACUGCAGCCACCAAGUUGAGAGAGGCCAAAAUUUCAACUUCUAUAUUUACAUUUGCAUAAUGAUUCCACUGGGAGUUGCUUCCUGGCUUUUGGAACACCACUUUUUUUUUUUGUGCUAGAUUCUAAAGAAAACUGCUUUUCAUAUUAAAAACAGUGCUUAGAACAUGGUGGCAUUAACACCUGCUCAUGCUUUGUCUUGCAAUGCUUUGAAUCAGGAUCAUCCUGGCUUAUCAAGUCAAGCUGUCUGACACUUCACUACCGAGGUGUAUGAGCACCACUCUGUGAGCCCAUUCUUCUUCCCUAUUAGAGUCCUUGCUCAUGAAUCAUUCAAAUCCCUCAACCUGAACCCUGCUUUACUGCUGCUUUCAGUAAUUUUUAUUUAUGCCUGGAAACUCUUUGGGAUGUCAAAAAGGAGCUGACUGAAACAAAUGCAUUCCAACAUAUUUCUUUCCUCCUGCAGUGCAAAUUCAGGCGGGUUAGCUUCUAGCACUGGCAGCUUGAACAAGAGUGAAGGAAUAUCUCCCCAGCCAGACAAGAUUCUCAAGUGAGAAUUCAAAAGACUAAGAUAGCAUUAUCUCCUGGACAGCCAGGUGCCUUUCAUUUCCCAACUGAGGUGUAUUUAACUGGGCCCUCAUUUGGAUGCAUCAAGCUUGGAGGUUUGCAAAUCAAAGCACUGUGAACAUACUCAGAGUUCUUUCUAAGGAAAACUACUAUGAACCUUAACACAAAUACCAAACCUGAUAUUCCCAGACUAGUUAGAAUGUAUAACACACAAAAUAUUACACAUACUACUAACAAUAAUAAGGAAAUCAAGAAAUCAUUGAAUAUAAUUAUGGGUUAUAUAUAUAUAGCUACUAUGAAGUUCAACCUUAGUAAAGAUGGAGAGUAGAAGUUAAAAAAAAUAUAUUUAUGGGGUAAAUUUGUACGUAUUUUCUUAUUCACACAGUGUUAGCAGACAAAACACGUUCAGGCUUGAUGUGCAUUUAACAGUGCAUUGUUUCUCUCUCUGAUACAGCAACUUGAAAGAUCACAAGCCUAACUACAGUCUUGCUAGCUCAGGUGAUAGAUGUUUGUGCUUCAGGGGUAGGGAUUAAUGCAUUAAAUUAGUUAUGCUUUCCUGGGCAGCAAUUUGCCAGAAGAAGUGUGGAUGGAUUUGUGAUUUGCAUAACAAGGUUUGAAAUAGUCACAGCUGAGGAAAAUAGAACAGAAUAUUUUCAUUGUAGGAUGGGACCCAGAAUGAUCACCUAGUCCAAGAUUUAGGCAAACAGCUCCAAUUACUGUAAGUAGAAGUUGUGUAGCUAAGACCACUAAUAAGGUUUUUGUAUUCAAACAAGAUCUUUAGAAUGCCAAAAAUUUUCUUAUGCAACCUCGUAUUUUGUGCUCUGAGUCAGCUGAAUGCCAUAUAGAAAAGAAAUUGCUUAAAUUCUACAAGAACACUCAAAAUAAGAUGUAGGUAUGGUGAAUGGAACAAACCAGGUGUAAGCUUAAUCUAGUGUGGUCUGUAAUGUUUAAAUGGCCAAUAAGCUUACUGACAAUACCUAGCUGAGAUUAGUAAACAAAAUUUUCUUUACAGAGGAAGCACAGUAUCAGCUAAACCAUUUUUGCUCAAUAUAUGAGGGAAAAAAAAAAGGUCUAGAAGAAUGAAUUACAUGAAACAGGGAGAAACGACCUGGGCAGAUGUUACAGUUGGUUUUACAGCACAGCAGGCACUGUAAUAUGUAGAGAUGAGGUUACCUUGACGUUUCCCAAUCUGUAUAUCAAAUACAUACUGCUGUAAUGUACCCAGCUCAUUUCUGAGGAGCUCCUGUGGGUAUUUAGUAUGAUUAUUCAUACUAAAUGAAGCUAAAAAUAUUUUCCCUCCAUAUAGAAGACCCUCUCCAUUCCAUUCAUCUGCUCCUGCAGUCCAUCCAACUCUUGAGCCCUGUUCUGGAUGCACAACAUAUGCAAGCUAACUUGGCACUGUUGAGAAUGUGCCCUCUUGUACCUGCAAAGAUGCCAACUCUUAGGGUCACAGCUUGCAGUAUACAAAGAGAAGACAGCCUCUUAAAAAUCUAAUUCCUAUAUUCUCAAGGGCUUGAAGACUCUCUGGGCUGCUGGAAUUAAGUGGCUGUGAUUUUCUGGAAAUCCAGGCAUUUGCUUCAUUAAAACUUCAUGAAAUCUAAACACAGUCUUUAUUCCAUGUAUCUCUUACAUGUCUCUCAAACAUUUUUUCUGUUGAUACAUUUAUUUUUAGUGAUAAUGUAUUUUCACUAAAACAUGGAUCAUACACAGAUGAUACCUUACAGGAAAUCCCUACAAAGCAGAGUACUGCUAAUCCUUCUAUGUAAACACUUGGAACAGGAGAGCACAUUUGGAAUUUUCUAGACACAUGAAUUGAAUACUAUUUUUGCUCUCCAAGAGGCCAAGAGCAAAAUACAUGCAGUGAACUUUUCUAAGAAGGAAGACAAGCUUGUUAAACUCACCUUCAAGCAAACAGCAACAGCCCUUAUUCUUUCUUUACAGGUAAGAAACAGAUGCUUUUCAUUACUUUGGGCAAUAAUAUCUCAUUAGCACGGCACAUCAGCAAGCUGGGACACAUCAGCUAUACCUGAUUAAGUUGAUUCCAGGUUUCUUCAAGCUUGGCUCAGUCCAAAGGAAAAAUCAGGUUGGUUUAUGCAGUGGAUAACAGGCAGAAGUUCUGAAAACAGUGCUAAGGAUAAGGGCUGAAGGAAAAACUGGAAAACUCAAUUUUGGCCCUAACAGAAGGUUGUCUGCUAUCUCACCCUCUAGGCAGAGAUUUUUUGGCAGUUUACAAGUGAAUAAUUUCCCCUGCCAAGUAACUGAAAUGUAUUCUCUGUGACACAUUAUUUUUCAUGGCAGGUCAGGAAGGGUAUCAGUGAAUAGGAGGUCCAGCAUCUCUUUCUGGCAUGGGUUGAACAGCUGAGAUACACUGCCUGCAGGAGCUAAGAGUAUGUAAUUACAGCCUUCACUCACAGAUGUCCUCACUGGCAUGAACUCUAGUUAUAGCCAUUGGUGACAUGUACUUUGGCAAGGUCUUGACAGAAUGGAUAUUUUCUAGGAUGUCUGAAGCAGCUAAGAGCUUGUGGAACUGCACUUCCAAUGUAGGAGGCUCGGAGGCCAAAGAAGGAGAAUCGAGUUUGAGUAGGCUAACAUUGAAGCCUUUGUCGAGAGAUGAUGAAAACUGGUGGAGAGACACUUAACUGUGAAGCACAGUGGAAAGCUGGAACCAUCUCUACUCAAAGCAUCCUUCAGGACUGAUACCCUGGGGGAACAGGGGCACACAGGGGGCUGUGAAACACUGCACAAGCCUUGUGGUGCCCCUCAUUCCUUGACAGUUUAAUACCACUCAGUAAUUUACAUGGGCUGUGAAACCAGUAGGGUUUGACACCCAUAAGGUCAGCUCUGCCAUUGGGGAUGCAAACUUGGGUCUCAGCAGAGGAAAAAACUAAACUAGUGCAAACAUGUUUUUCUCAGCGAGUCAAGCAAGGUACCUAAGGUAGUAAAAAUAAUUUACCAACUUAUCUAUAGUAGAGUGCUUGCUGUGAGCUUUCACCCCCUUUACAGAUGCUGUAAGAACCCCUGCUAAGGGUUUUGAUAUUUCUUCUAUUAAACAUACCAGGAAUUUAAAAUUGUUUUCAACAGAAAAAGGUGUAAAGAGAACAAAGCAGCACAUUCAAUUUCUGAAUCUGUUGAAAUGAAUGACUGCAUUUCAUUUGUUUAUUUUAAUCUAACUUAAAGAGUUAAUGCUGGUUAAGCACAGCUUGCAUUGGUACAUAGUGGAAGAAAACAAAAGCAAAUGCAUUAAUUACUGUUCACUGACCACAGUAAUGAUUUUAAAAAAUGCUUGAUUAGUGAACAGUAUACCUCCAAAUCACAGCUAAGGUGAAUACAAAAAUUUGAAGCACACAAUCACCAAUAUCAUUAUUAUUAUUACUAUUAUUAUUCUACCUUUGAGGGAUCACUCUGUUGAAAAUAAUUAUAUCAAUACAUUUUUAAUUCCUUUUUUUACAACACAUUUUUGUAAGAAAAGGGUGAAAGUAAGACCUUUAAAAUAAAAAAAUGUAAUUAAAAGGCAUUUUCUUUUGGCUAAGAUUCCUACUCAGGAAUGAUACCACCCUUGUGAUUAGCUGUUCAGAAGAAUAGACAGGGACAGCCCUUAACUUGCUCCUCUGAAGAUCAAUGCUCUUAUCUUUUGAUUGUACCCAAAAGCACCAAAAAAUGUGGUUUUACCUCUUUAAAGCCUAUUCUGGAGCCUGUCCAACCCUACGGGAAGGUAGGCUAGUAAGAAGAGGGAGUAGAGGUUGAUUUUUUAAUCGUAAUUAGCUAGAUAAUGUAUUGUAUUUUCCCUAUUAGGAGAGCUCUUUUGCUGAAUCCUCACACUGUUAAGUUCUAAGAGACAGCUUAAGGCUCUUGACUUACACCAAUGGUAAUGUAGAAGAUGAAUGUAGUUUCCACUUAUGUGUUUUGCAGAGGCCUGGUUGUCUUUCUGUUGUUAUGGUAGAAGCCAGGUCAGAAUCCUAUUUAUUCACAGACAGGAGAAUUGCUGAGAGAGGACAUGAAGACAUGACUGAAAUGUUUCGCAGAGAUACGGAAGAUUACUUUCAGAGAGCUCAGGCUCACAAAAAGAACUCUGAUUUAAAGCUGCUCCAUAGGGGUUAUGAGUAAUUUAGCAUAGGAGAAAAGCCUCACAUGUUGUGCAUGUAAAGUACCACUGCAUGUUAUAAAAUGACACAGCUAUCCUCUGCUCCUUUGGUAUCGAACAGGGCUGUAACUUUCUGAUAAUUAACCAAAACAGGAGAUCAAGUAUCACAUUUUCCUAGAUAUCACCUGAAAAGAAACAGCUGGGAGUAUUUCCCCAUUUGACAUAAGGUGCAUAGCCUCUUUUCUUGUAUUCUCCAAAUUCAGUGAUGCUCAGGAUAUGUGUGGAAGGUGUACCCUUCAGUGCUCUUCUUUACCAAGGCAAAAACUACCUGCAUGACCCCACGACAUUGAGAGGGUACUUUUUGUCUUCCAAUUUUCACAAAGGCGCUUGAAGGAAAUUAACACAGCUCUGACCUUCACUAAUUGCUCACUUGAUUAUGUUUCUCAGUCACACUCUAUAGCUCUGCAUUGGCCAAGGACACAGAAUACACAGCUAAUGUCUGUCCUCCUCUUCCUCCCUCUUCCCCAGACUCUGCAGAGCAGUGCCCUCACAAAAUUAUCCAAAGCAAUGUCUGUGGCACCCUGGCAGGAGGAAAGUGCAUGAGCCCUUGAUGACUUUCUGAGUUCCCUUAAGCCUGUAUUGUUCUGUGUCUUCAAUAUCUUUCAUGCUAGAAUGUGCAGAUUUUCACAGCAGCUGGAUUUCCUAGAACACGCAGUUCUGGCUAAAUGUAUUCAGCUGUACAUGCAAACACAGAGACAAAACAAUCUCUAUGAACAGAUAUUAACAGAUGUAACCUCACAGGUAACAUUCAUUACAAUUCACAUGAAAUAUUGAAAUCUAUGAAUGUAUACAUUUGUGUUCAACUAAUGAAAGCCUGUGAAACUGAGUUUGCAGAGAGAGAAUACUCUCUUUAGAAGGAGUUGAGUUCUGACAUUGGGUUGAAUAAUGCACAUUUCAAGCUUUUGGAAAUAUUACUUGGUAUCACUUGAGGGUAAUGCUGAGGCUGAUAAUGAACAAUGAUUCAGAAAUGGGAAAGAUUUCAACCUAGUAGCCAUCCAUUGACUGUCAAAGUCAAACCUAUGGAACUGCACACAUUUUGAAGAACAUAUAAGUCCCAAAAAAGUGAAGGAUUUCUGACUCUUAAGCAACAUGCUCUGCUGUGGGACUAUUGGACUCUUUUUCUUGCAUUAAAUGAGUGUAUUUGAACCUCCAGUUCAGUUUAGAUCACUAACUCCUUUUGAUGAUUUUAUGCAGAAGGCUAAAUAUUUCACUGAAUUCAGUAUUAAAAUUCAAACAACUCAGUCAUAUGCAAUUAGGUAUUUCUAAGCAAUAUUAUACCAUGUCACACAGUGAAGACUGCUAGAAGAAAUAAUAAAUACUUCAGUUCAGAACAGUGAUAAAAUAUGUUCUUGCUCUACUAAGUUUCUCACGAAGAAGCUGAAUACAUAAUAGUUUACAUCUACCGAAGAAGCACCAUUUUCUCUUUAUGUGCCUUGGGUCAUGCUGGCAAUACUUAGGAGCUCUUUGUAUUUCUUAAUUGCAAUGUGGAUUUACUCCCACUAGGUGUUACCCUUCCUCCAUUUGUGAAGGAAACUGUCCUCCCCGAAUAAACCUGGAUCAUCCGUGGAUGUACCGUCCAAAAUGCAAAAUAGGGGCCCAUCGUGAUGGAAGCAUCUUUGUAAACAUGGAAACAACAACAGCUUCUUCUGAAAAACCUCCCAUAAACAAACAAACAAAAAUUCACAACCCCUUCCCCCCCAAAUCAACAAAAUCAAUCCCCCCAAACCCAUGUAAACUUCUCAGAGUAUUAAAAGGAGAAAAACUGUUGUAUCCUGACAGGUUAAGACAGUGUCCCUGUAGCUAGUUCUGGUCAGCAGCUAAUAGCAAACAUUGACAUGUGACUGUCUUAACUGAAAGAGCUAUUGCCCUGAAAUGUCCCAGCACUGCCCAGUCAGAGAUAUUCAACUACACGUUUAUUGUCAUAAAUUCAUUAGACUAUAUUUAAUAUUUACAGCCCUUUAUGGGGGCUGUAUGUCUUACAGGAGGCAUUCUGUGGCAGCCUUUAAUGUUACAUGUACCAGUAUUUCACUGUCUCCCACACAAAAUAAGAAUAAACCACUAUGACUGUGUUACGCAACCCAGUGACUGACACAUAAGUAAAAAAUUGUUGAUAUAUUUACCCAUUGUAAUACCCACAGACGAAGUCCAAUCCUCCUCACCGAGACAAACGUUGCCAAAUGAAAAGAGAUAGGAAAUGGAGAAGAAAUUAGAUGAACAUAUUGUGAAAAGAGGAAAAAUCUGUUGACGAAAGAAGUUACAAUAACCAAAGCCUUGCAGCCAGGCAAGGCAUAAAGCAGCAGUGAGAUGCCCACAGAAUACAAUUUCUGUGAAGAGACGUAGCUUC